This 767-nucleotide ribosomal RNA is filed under the name uncultured Planctomycetaceae bacterium. RNAcentral's name for it is "bacterial SSU rRNA". It matches the Rfam family "Bacterial small subunit ribosomal RNA", at positions 8 to 796 of the family's 1533-position model. Lineage: Bacteria; Pseudomonadati; Planctomycetota; Planctomycetia; Planctomycetales; Planctomycetaceae. The record is from RNAcentral.
AGAGUUUGAUCCUGGCUCAGCCUGAACGCUGGCGGCGUGGCUAAGACAUGCAAGUCGCACGGGGUGGCAGCAAUGCCAUCCAGUGGCGAACGGGUGAGUAAUGUGUCGCUAACGUGCCCCGGACGCCGGGAUAGCUGCCCGAAAGGGCAGGUAAUACCGGGCGAGACCACGGAGAGGCAUCUCUCUGUGCUCAAAGGCGUAAGCCGGUCCGGGAGCGGGCGACAUCGUAUCAGCUUGUUGGUGGGGUAACGGCCUACCAAGGCGACGACGCGUAGCUGGUCUGAGAGGACGGCCAGCCACAUCGGGACUGAGACACUGCCCGGACUCCUACGGGGGGCUGCAGUAACGAAUCUUCCGCAAUGCACGAAAGUGUGACGGAGCGACGCCGCGUGUGGGACGAAGCCCUUCGGGGUGUAAACCACUGUCAGGGGAAAGAAAGUUCUGAUCUACCCCAGAGGAAGGCACGGCUAACUCUGUGCCAGCAGCCGCGGUAAGACAGAGGUGCCGAGCGUUAGGCGGAAUCACUGGGCUUAAAGCGUCCGCAGGUGGCAGUUCAAGUCUGCUGUCAAAGACCGGGGCUUAACUUCGGAAAGGCAGUGGAAACUGAACAGCUAGAGUAUGGUAGGGGCAGAGGGAAUUCCUGGUGUAGCGGUGAAAUGCGUAGAGAUCAGGAAGAACAUCGGUGGCGAAGGCGCUCUGCUGGACCAUAACUGACACUCAGGGACGAAAGCUAGGGGAGCGAAUGGGAUUAGAUACCCCCGUAGUCC